RNAcentral lists this non-coding RNA (24 nucleotides) under Arabidopsis thaliana (thale cress). Lineage: Eukaryota; Viridiplantae; Streptophyta; Magnoliopsida; Brassicales; Brassicaceae. The record is from RNAcentral.
AUAGAAGCUAGUGCGAACGGAAUA